CCCCCACAUACCCCCAGCCCUCUCCUCUGGCAGUGACAAGGCCUCUGCCCACAGGCACGCCCCAGUCUCUGCCCCAUCUCCGCAGGGAGGUAGGUUCAGAGGUCAGAGGGAACCCCUUCCCCCGAAACAGGAGCACAGGACAGUCCCAGCCCAGGUCGAUCAGGGGAGAGAGGGACUGGAAGGUCUGACGUACCUCCUGUCCCUCUGUCGCACCCCAGCGUGCCUAGAUGGCACAAGUGGGGAAUCUUCCCAACCCAGGGAUCCAACAUAAGUCUCUUGUGUCUCCUGCAUUGGCAGGCGGAUCCUUUACCACUAGAGCCACCCGGGAAGCCCCUGCAGGGGUGCUCUGUCCCCAUCCAUCUUCACUCACAGGCUGAGUCCUAGGCUGCAGGUUGAUCAGAGAGCAUCUGCUCUAUAGAAGAGGAGGAGGUCUCCAAGCAUCCUGACCCAAGGGACCAGGAAGUCCUACCUUCCCUACCCCUUGGUCUGGGGGGUCUCCAAUCCAGCCACCUCCCUCGACUAUGGUAUGGCCUCAGAGCAUACCUGGCAGGUCCUGGGUUGCUAUAGGGUGGGGUGGUAUAUCGUGGACCCCCACUGUCCAUACUCAUCCUCACAGACUCCAGGCACCGUGGUACCUACCAGGUUGGGUCCAGGGAGGCCAGUCAAAGGCCAGACAGGCAGACUGUG
This is a long non-coding RNA of Bos taurus (domestic cattle), 687 nucleotides long. The record is from Ensembl. NCBI's taxonomy places the organism in Eukaryota, Metazoa, Chordata, Mammalia, Artiodactyla, Bovidae.